CGAAGGGGGCUAGCGUUGUUCGGAAUUACUGGGCGUAAAGCGCGCGUAGGCGGUUUUGCAAGCCAGAGGUGAAAUGCCUGAGCUCAACUUAGGAAUUGCCUUUGGGACUGCGAGGCUUUGAGGACUGGAGAGGUGAGUGGAAUUCCCAGUGUAGAGGUGAAAUUCGUAGAUAUUGGGAAGAACACCGGUGGCGAAGGCGGCUCACUGGCCAGUUUCUGACGCUGUAGCGCGAAAGCGUGGGGAUCAAACAGGAUUAGAUACCCUGGUAGUCCACGCUGUAAACGAUGAGUGCUAGGCGUCGGCAUGCUUGCAUGUCGGUGCCGCAGCUAACGCGUGAAGCACUCCGCCUGGGGAGUACGGUCGCAAGAUUA
This 371-nucleotide ribosomal RNA is filed under the name uncultured organism. Its description in RNAcentral is "bacterial SSU rRNA". It matches the Rfam family "Bacterial small subunit ribosomal RNA", at positions 526 to 896 of the family's 1533-position model. The record is from RNAcentral.